AGAGUUUGAUUAUGGCUCAGGACGAACGCUGGCGGCGUGCCUAACACAUGCAAGUCGAACGGAGUGAUGUUUCGGAUGAUCACUUAGUGGCGAACGGGUGAGUAACGCGUGAACAACCUGCCUUCCUGAGGGGGAUAACACCUGGAAACAAGUGCUAAUACCGCAUAAGACCACAUAUCCGCAUGGAUGAGGGGUCAAAGGAGCGAUCCGCAGGGAGAGGGGUUCGCGUCCCAUUAGCUAGUUGGCGGGGCAACGGCCCACCAAGGCGACGAUGGGUAGCCGAGCUGAGAGGCUGAUCGGCCACACUGGAACUGAGACACGGUCCAGACUCCUACGGGAGGCAGCAGUGGGGAAUAUUGGGCAAUGGGCGCAAGCCCUGACCCAGCAACGCCGCGUGAGGGAAGAAGGUCUUCGGAUUGUAAACCCCUGUCCUAUGUGACGAAGGAAGUGACGGUAGCAUAGGAGGAAGCCCCGGCUAACUACGUGCCAGCCGCAGC
Molecule: ribosomal RNA, 497 nt
Filed under: uncultured bacterium
Lineage: Bacteria
Description: bacterial SSU rRNA
Rfam family: Bacterial small subunit ribosomal RNA
Source: RNAcentral